This 320-nucleotide ribosomal RNA is filed under the name uncultured eukaryote. RNAcentral's name for it is "partial 18S ribosomal RNA". It matches the Rfam family "Eukaryotic small subunit ribosomal RNA", at positions 1470 to 1796 of the family's 1831-position model. The record is from RNAcentral.
CCCCUAGAUGUUCUGGGCCGCACGCGCGCUACACUGAACAGUUCAACAAGUCUUAACCUUGGCCGAUAGGUCUGGGUAAUCUUUGAACGCUGUUCGUGAUUGGGAUAGACCUUUGCAAUUAUGGGUCUUCAACGAGGAAUUCCUAGUAAACGCAAGUCAUCAGCUUGCAUUGAUUACGUCCCUGCCCUUUGUACACACCGCCCGUCUCACCUACCGAUUGAAUGGUCCGGUGAAAUCUCGGGACGGCGGCUUGGUCGCUUGCGUCCGACUGCUGAAACUUGAUUAAACCAUNUNAUUUAGNGGAAGGUGAANUCGUANCA